Molecule: unclassified non-coding RNA, 377 nt
Filed under: uncultured Lysobacteraceae bacterium
Lineage: Bacteria; Pseudomonadati; Pseudomonadota; Gammaproteobacteria; Lysobacterales; Lysobacteraceae
Description: uncultured Xanthomonadaceae bacterium contains 16S-23S intergenic spacer region
Source: RNAcentral
UCCGGUUUGUCACCGGCGGUCUCCUUAGAGUUCCCACCAUUACGUGCUGGCAACAUGCGACGGGGGUUGCGCUCGUUGCGGGACUUAACCCAACAUCUCACGACACGAGCUGACGACAGCCAUGCAGCACCUGUGACGCACGCCUCGCGGCCGCCGGCUUUCGCCGGCUGUAAGCGCCAUGUCAAGCCCUGGUAAGGUUCUUCGCGUUGCAUCGAAUUAAACCACAUACUCCACCGCUUGUGCGGGCCCCCGUCAAUUCCUUUGAGUUUCAGUCUUGCGACCGUACUCCCCAGGCGGCGAACUUAACGCGUUAGCUUCGAUACUGCGUGCCAAAUUGCACCCAACAUCCAGUUCGCAUCGUUUAGGGCGUGGACUAC